GGCAAAGGAAUUGACACGGUGGUUCAACUCGAGAAAAUGGUUUGUCAUAGUACUCAUGUAUUUCAGAAUUUCAUGUCCCAUCAUAUUUAACUCUUCUCUCAUGGCAGCUUGUUCUGACAUCAUAGCUUGAAUAGCGGUAUUAAAAUCAGUUCCGGGCAUAUGAUGUCUAAGAUCAGGUAUUGCUGAUUCUGCGGACGGGAUAGGAUGAGGUGGAGAGAAAG
This 221-nucleotide long non-coding RNA is filed under the name Lathyrus oleraceus (garden pea). RNAcentral describes it as "Pisum sativum (pea) long non-coding RNA (PSAT_LNC036808)". The record is from RNAcentral. Lineage: Eukaryota; Viridiplantae; Streptophyta; Magnoliopsida; Fabales; Fabaceae.